Molecule: long non-coding RNA, 132 nt
Organism: Ornithodoros turicata
Lineage: Eukaryota; Metazoa; Arthropoda; Arachnida; Ixodida; Argasidae
Exons: 3
Source: RefSeq, a predicted model, not a curated record
GGUCGGAAACACGGACGGUCAGAGCAGUGACGACCUUUGCCUACCCCAUCGUGAAUUAUAUCUGCGAAAAUGCAUAUCUAUGCGUUGAGAAGGUUGGAGAAGAGGUACCACAGCUCAUGGAGUGCAUGAUCG